GAUGAACGCUGGCGGCGUGCCUAAUACAUGCAAGUCGAGCGAACAGAUAAGGAGCUUGCUCCUUUGACGUUAGCGGCGGACGGGUGAGUAACACGUGGGUAACCUACCUAUAAGACUGGGAUAACUUCGGGAAACCGGAGCUAAUACCGGAUAACAUUUGGAACCGCAUGGUUCUAAAGUGAAAGAUGGUUUUGCUAUCGCUUAUAGAUGGACCCGCGCCGUAUUAGCUAGUUGGUAAGGUAACGGCUUACCAAGGCGACGAUACGUAGCCGACCUGAGAGGGUGGUAGGCCACACGGGAACUGAGACACGGUCAAGACGCCUACGGGAGGCAGCAGUAGGGAAUCGUCCGCAAUGGGCGAAAGCCUGACGGAGCAACGCCGCGUGAGUGAUGAAGGGUUUCGGCUCGUAAAAAUCUGUUAUUAGGGAAGAACAAAUGUGUAAGUAACUGUGCACGGAUUGACGGUACCUAAUCAGAAAGCAACGGCUAACUACGUG
Molecule: ribosomal RNA, 497 nt
Filed under: uncultured bacterium
Lineage: Bacteria
Description: partial 16S ribosomal RNA
Rfam family: Bacterial small subunit ribosomal RNA
Source: RNAcentral